This 258-nucleotide ribosomal RNA is filed under the name uncultured bacterium. RNAcentral's name for it is "partial 16S ribosomal RNA". It matches the Rfam family "Bacterial small subunit ribosomal RNA", at positions 332 to 606 of the family's 1533-position model. The record is from RNAcentral.
UUGACCUACGGGGGGCAGCAGUGGGGAAUAUUGGGCAAUGGGCGCAAGCCUGACCCAGCAACGCCGCGUGAAGGAAGAAGGCUUUCGGGUUGUAAACUUCUUUUGUCAGGGACGAAGCAAGUGACGGUACCUGACGAAUAAGCCACGGCUAACUACGUGCCAGCAGCCGCGGUAAUACGUAGGUGGCAAGCGUUAUCCGGAUUUACUGGGUGUAAAGGGUGCGUAGGUGGCAGGGCAAGUCAGAUGUGAAAGCCCGGG